GCGACAGUGGCUCAGCUGGUAGAGUACGACCUUGCCAAGGUCGGGGUCGCGGGUUCGAGCCCCGUCUGUCGCU
RNAcentral lists this transfer RNA (73 nucleotides) under Candidatus Mediterraneibacter stercoravium. Its description in RNAcentral is "tRNA-Gly". It matches the Rfam family "tRNA". Rfam says of the family: Transfer RNA (tRNA) molecules are approximately 80 nucleotides in length. Their secondary structure includes four short double-helical elements and three loops (D, anti-codon, and T loops). The record is from RNAcentral. Lineage: Bacteria; Bacillati; Bacillota; Clostridia; Lachnospirales; Lachnospiraceae.